RNAcentral lists this ribosomal RNA (429 nucleotides) under Chloroflexota bacterium. RNAcentral's name for it is "Chloroflexi bacterium partial 16S ribosomal RNA". It matches the Rfam family "Bacterial small subunit ribosomal RNA", at positions 355 to 776 of the family's 1533-position model. Lineage: Bacteria; Bacillati; Chloroflexota. The record is from RNAcentral.
UGGGGAAUAUUGCACAAUGGGCGCAAGCCUGAUGCAGCCAUGCCGCGUGUGUGAAGAAGGCCUUCGGGUUGUAAAGCACUUUCAGCGGGGAGGAAGGCGAUAAGGUUAAUAACCUUGUCGAUUGACGUUACCCGCAGAAGAAGCACCGGCUAUCUCCGUGCCAGCAGCCGCGGUAAUACGGAGGGUGCAAGCGUUAAUCGGAAUUACUGGGCGUAAAGCGCACGCAGGCGGUCUGUCAAGUCGGAUGUGAAAUCCCCGGGCUCAACCUGGGAACUGCAUUCGAAACUGGCAGGCUAGAGUCUUGUAGAGGGGGGUAGAAUUCCAGGUGUAGCGGUGAAAUGCGUAGAGAUCUGGAGGAAUACCGGUGGCGAAGGCGGCCCCCUGGACAAAGACUGACGCUCAGGUGCGAAAGCGUGGGGAGCAAACAGG